CCAGCAGCUGCGGUGAUUCCGGCUCCAAUAGCGUAUAUUUAAGUUGUCGCAGUUUAAAAGCUCGUAGUUGGAUUUCGGGUGGGUUUUAGCGGUCCGCCUAUGGUGAGUACUGCUAUGGCCUUCCUUACUGUCGGGGACCUGCUUCUGGGCUUCACUGUCCGGGACAGGGAUUCGGCAUGGUUACUUUGAGUAAAUUAGAGUGUUCAAAGCAGGCUUACGCCGUGAAUACUUUAGCAUGGAAUAACAUGAUAGGACUCUGCCCUAUUCUGUUGGCCUGUAGGAGUGGAGUAAUGAUUAAGAGGAACAGUCGGGGGCAUUCGUAUUUCAUUGUCAGAGGUGAAAUUCUUGGAUUUAUGAAAGACGAACUACUGAGAAAGCAUUUGCCAAGGAUGUUUUCAUUAAUCAAG
Molecule: ribosomal RNA, 407 nt
Filed under: uncultured eukaryote
Lineage: Eukaryota
Description: SSU rRNA
Rfam family: Eukaryotic small subunit ribosomal RNA
Source: RNAcentral